This 878-nucleotide ribosomal RNA is filed under the name Lactiplantibacillus plantarum. RNAcentral describes it as "bacterial SSU rRNA". It matches the Rfam family "Bacterial small subunit ribosomal RNA", at positions 29 to 869 of the family's 1533-position model. Lineage: Bacteria; Bacillati; Bacillota; Bacilli; Lactobacillales; Lactobacillaceae. The record is from RNAcentral.
ACGAACGCUGGCGGCGUGCCUAAUACAUGCAAGUCGAACGAACUCUGGUAUUGAUUGGUGCUUGCAUCAUGAUUUACAUUUGAGUGAGUGGCGAACUGGUGAGUAACACGUGGGAAACCUGCCCAGAAGCGGGGGAUAACACCUGGAAACAGAUGCUAAUACCGCAUAACAACUUGGACCGCAUGGUCCGAGUUUGAAAGAUGGCUUCGGCUAUCACUUUUGGAUGGUCCCGCGGCGUAUUAGCUAGAUGGUGGGGUAACGGCUCACCAUGGCAAUGAUACGUAGCCGACCUGAGAGGGUAAUCGGCCACAUUGGGACUGAGACACGGCCCAAACUCCUACGGGAGGCAGCAGUAGGGAAUCUUCCACAAUGGACGAAAGUCUGAUGGAGCAACGCCGCGUGAGUGAAGAAGGGUUUCGGCUCGUAAAACUCUGUUGUUAAAGAAGAACAUAUCUGAGAGUAACUGUUCAGGUAUUGACGGUAUUUAACCAGAAAGCCACGGCUAACUACGUGCCAGCAGCCGCGGUAAUACGUAGGUGGCAAGCGUUGUCCGGAUUUAUUGGGCGUAAAGCGAGCGCAGGCGGUUUUUUAAGUCUGAUGUGAAAGCCUUCGGCUCAACCGAAGAAGUGCAUCGGAAACUGGGAAACUUGAGUGCAGAAGAGGACAGUGGAACUCCAUGUGUAGCGGUGAAAUGCGUAGAUAUAUGGAAGAACACCAGUGGCGAAGGCGGCUGUCUGGUCUGUAACUGACGCUGAGGCUCGAAAGUAUGGGUAGCAAACAGGAUUAGAUACCCUGGUAGUCCAUACCGUAAACGAUGAAUGCUAAGUGUUGGAGGGUUUCCGCCCUUCAGUGCUGCAGCUAACGCAUUACACGCAUCC